Long non-coding RNA from Chenopodium quinoa (quinoa), 1028 nucleotides. RefSeq lists it as uncharacterized. The transcript has 3 exons. The record is from RefSeq and is a predicted model, not a curated record. NCBI's taxonomy places the organism in Eukaryota, Viridiplantae, Streptophyta, Magnoliopsida, Caryophyllales, Amaranthaceae.
ACUUAGAACAGUAAAAAGUGAACAUCUUAGAGAAAAUAAAGGAAAAAGCUUGUAUAUGGGAGAGCGUAUAAUACAAGAGUACAAUACAAAAUUACUUUUUGAUUUCCUUUCUUUCUGUUCACCCUUUUUCUUUUGAUUACUUUUUGUUCUCUUUUCUUUAUGUUCACCAUUUUUCUCUUGUACUUACCAUUUUCACAUGAGAAGGGAGCCCAAUUAAUCUCCGAGAUUAACAUUCCAAGUUAAUCUCCUCUCACGAUUUUAUGCAUUUGUUUUCGUGCCACUUUACUAUUUCACUUUUAUUAUUUUAAAAAUAAAAGUAAAACAAUAUAUUGUGAGAGGAGAUUAACUUUUCACGUCAAUGUCAGAGAUUAACUUGAAUUCUCUCUUUUCACAGGGAAAUCAAAAAUUCAUGUGAGUUGAGGCACACAAGCUCAAGAAUUAAUGUUUGAAAAUGGCGAGGAAGAUGUUGGUGAUGGAGGACUCGAUUUUAACAAAUAGUUUCUCAAAUUUUUGUGAUGAAGUCGGUGAAAGCGAUUCCGGUGGUACUGGCGUUGUAUUGGAUGGCGACAAGACCGCCGCCAUUGAAGACCCAGUGCCCGAAACAAGGGAAGCAACAAGAUGAUGAAGAGCAUUGUGCUUUAGCACUAGAAGCUUUGUUGAACGAGGUAACAAUGGUCCAAAAUGGUUGUGGAACUGUGCUUGACAUGUCCAAUUCUUAAUGAGAUGUCUUUCUUAUAUGAAGACAUUUGGAUUAUCCACUGUGUUUAUCAAGUCUACAUUGACGGAGAAUGGAGGGGUUCUGGAUUCUACUAACUUGCCAACAUUGAUAAAGAAUCUGCACCUGUAAACUUGUCUGAUAGACUGCAUGGCUGCUGACCUGCAGUGGUGGUGAAAUUUGAGAGUAUCUAGUUGUUGAACUGCUGCUCCCUCAUUUAUACUCUUUGUAUAGUUAAUAUUUAAUAAUCUAUAUUAUUUACAGAAAUUACAAAGAGUAUUAGUACUUUUAUGUAUAUAUGUCAGUUUUUGUA